This 1231-nucleotide small RNA is filed under the name Pan troglodytes (chimpanzee). Its description in RNAcentral is "processed transcript". The record is from RNAcentral. Lineage: Eukaryota; Metazoa; Chordata; Mammalia; Primates; Hominidae.
GCAGAAUUAUCCACGAGUUUUGAGCAGCCUCGGUUUUCCCACCACCUCCAAACCAUGCAAGACACAGGGUAAGAGCAAAGACAAGGUGGCUGUGGCCGAUGUCCACCCUCUCGGGGCGUCCUUUCUCUUCUCUCCUCCUUGGGCAGGGAGACCAUCGGGGUGCAACCUGGCUGGGGCGGGGAGGAGGUGCAGGGCCUGGCCGGAGCGGGCCUGGCCACGGCCAGGGGACAGCGACCGCCUAGGCCGGGGCAGGUGAGCGCGGCGCAGGCCCCGGCACGGCGUUUCCGCGGUGCGCGCGAGCGGCCAGCAGAGGGCGCCAGAGAGCCAGGAGCGGCCCACGGAGGAGCCCGCGCCGGCCCCGACGCCCAGCUCCGCGCCGCGCAGACCCACCGAGCCCGCGCUCAGACGCCCCAGCUCCGACGAGAGGCCGCUCGCGCCGGGUCCUUCCUCUUCCCCAAGUGCAGGCAGAGCCCCCGGAGCAAUGGCCAGUCCUUCCGGCAGCUCCGAAGACACUGGCAAGCCCCGAGGCAGGGAUGGCCGGCCCAGGAGGGAGGAGGACGACGUCCCUUCCGAGGGGAAGAGGCUGCGGCUGUUGCUGGAGGGGGGGAAGCGCACAGCCCGAGGACUGCGAGGACGGGGAGGACGCGCCGCGGCCGGGCAGGGAGGAGACCGGCACCCAGACAGGUGGCGACGGCAGAGGAGUGGUCAUUUUUCUUCUUGUGGCCUCUGGAAUGUGACACAGAACUCAAGGGACAGGAAGGAGAUGGGUUGGAGGCUGGGACAGGGGUCCCUGCCAGGGAUGCUGGUGACUCACAUGACAGUGUUGAUGUGUGGAGUCCAGUGCCUGGUUUGGGGAAUGUUUGUGGGAUAUGUUCCAAAGCACUGAUAGACCUAUCAGGCGCAGUGGUUCACACCUGUAAUCCCAGCACUUUGGGAGGCCGAGGCUGGCAGAUCACCUAAGGUCAGGAGUUCGAGACCAGCCUGGCCAACAUGGCGAAACUGUAUCUACCAAAAAAAAAAAAACAGAAAUUAGCCAGGUGUUAUUGCACACACCUGUAAUCCCAGCUACUUGGGAGGCUGAGGCAGGAGAAUCGUUUGAACCUGGGAGACAGAGGUUGCAGUCAGCCGAGAUUGCACCACUGCACUUCAGCCAGCCUGGGUGACAGAGCGAGACUCUGUUUCAAAAAUAAAUAAAUAAAUAAAAUAGAAUUCUGAAUUUUAUUUUUAAUAA